AUACUUUCAGCACAUGGAAGCCCACUCCUUGGGGGAACAACCCCCCAGUUUGAGAAGCAUGGCGCAAGAGUGGGAGGAUUUGAAUGAGAACAUUAGUCAUGAAAGGACUUUGCUCAUAAGACUGUUUCUGCACUUAAGCCUUUUUUCUUUUCCUGAGAAGAAAAUGAAAGCAGAAAAUCUUUUCCAAGGUUUCAAUCAGAGCCUGUUGAAGAAAGAUGAAAGCAGAAGACUAUCCUCCAGAUUGGAGGCUGUAAGAGAAAACCGAUGUGAGUAUGGAGAUGUACGCAUUGAGUUGGAACCCAAGUUUAUACAGACUGUGACUAUCAUCAGAAAUAUUAUGCCUAUGUUGGAUUUUUAA
This 358-nucleotide long non-coding RNA is filed under the name Rhinopithecus bieti (black snub-nosed monkey). RNAcentral's name for it is "lncRNA (ENSRBIG00000045726.1)". Lineage: Eukaryota; Metazoa; Chordata; Mammalia; Primates; Cercopithecidae. The record is from RNAcentral.